UACGGGGGGGGCAAGCGUUGUUCGGAAUUACUGGGCGUAAAGGGCUCGUAGGCGGCCAACUAAGUCAGACGUGAAAUCCCUCGGCUUAACCGGGGAACUGCGUCUGAUACUGGAUGGCUUGAGUUCGGGAGAGGGAUGCGGAAUGCCAGGUGUAGCGGUGAAAUGCGUAGAUAUCUGGAGGAACACCGGUGGCGAAGGCGGCAUCCUGGACCGAUACUGACGCUGAGGAGCGAAAGCCAGGGGAGCAAACGGG
This 253-nucleotide ribosomal RNA is filed under the name uncultured bacterium. Its description in RNAcentral is "partial 16S ribosomal RNA". It matches the Rfam family "Bacterial small subunit ribosomal RNA", at positions 524 to 776 of the family's 1533-position model. The record is from RNAcentral.